GACGUAGGGCGCGAGCGUUGUCCGGAUUUAUUGGGCGUAAAGAGCUCGUAGGCGGCUUGUCGCGUCGACUGUGAAAACCCGCGGCUUAACUGCGGGCCUGCAGUUGAUACGGGCAGGCUAGAGUUCGGUAGGGGAGACUGGAAUUCCUGGUGUAGCGGUGAAAUGCGCAGAUACCAGGAGGAACACCGGUGGCGAAGGCGGGUCUCUGGACAGUUCCUGACGCUGAGGCACGAAGGUCAGGGGAGCAAACGGG
Molecule: ribosomal RNA, 253 nt
Filed under: uncultured bacterium
Lineage: Bacteria
Description: partial 16S ribosomal RNA
Rfam family: Bacterial small subunit ribosomal RNA
Source: RNAcentral